UAGGAUGGCCUUAGUACGGCGAGUGAAGAGGCCAAAGCCCAAGAUGGUAAUCUCCGUGCAGCGCACGGCGAAUUGUAAUCUAGAGAGGCGAAUUUCAAGAGGAGGUGGCACAGAAGUGCCCUGGAACGGGCCGCCAAAGAGGGUGACAGCCCCGUACGUGGUGCCGCCGCCUAACGAAAUAGUCUUCAAAGAGUCGGGUUGUUUUGUAUUGCAGCCCUAAGUGGGAGAUAAACUUCUUCUAAGGCUAAAUAUAUGUGGGAAACCGAUAGCGAACAAGUACUGUGAAGGAAAGAUGAAAAGCACUUUGGAAAGAGAGUCAAAAGACCUGAAACCGUUGAGGAGGAAGCGGUAGAGAUGAAUUCUACAGGAGGAUAUGAAUGUGUGGUCAAAGCUUUGCUCUUGGACGUACGUCAAAGGCGGACUGGAAGCACAAGUGGAAACCAAGCAGUAGUAACCUUUUGUGAGGCCGGAUGAGGUGGAGUAGCUGCAGAGUGUUUGUAGAGUAGGAAGUCUCGGCGAUCGCUCUAUAAAUUACGGUAGCUGCUUCGCCUGAGAGUGCUUAGUGCGAUUCGGUCAAAAUGGUCUUUACCGACCCGUCUUGAAACACGGACCAAGGAGUCUAAGGUACGCGCGAGUGUGCUGGUGGAGAAACCAACACGCGUAAUGAAGGUGAGUGAUGCCAAGCGCAAGCAGCAGCAUCGGCCGACCAGGAGUCUCUGACAAAAGGUUUGAGUAUGAGCGCGUCCCCUAGGACCCGAAAGAUGGUGAACUAUGCCUGUGUAGGGUGAAGCCAGGGGAAACUCUGGUGGAAGCUCGUAGCGAUACUGACGUGCAAAUCGUUCGUCAAACAUGGGUAUAGGGGCGAAAGACUAAUCGAACCAUCUAGUAGCUGGUUCCCUCCGAAGUUUCCCUCAGGAUAGCUGGGACAAUUGCGCAGUUUUAUUAGGUAAAGCGAAUGAUUAGAGGAAUCGGGGGCUACGUGCUCUCGACCUAUUCUCAAACUUUAAAUUGGUAAGAACCCGGGCCUUUCUUAGCUGAGGCUCCGGGGCUCAAUGCGUGUCCUUAGUGGGCCAUUUUUGGUAAGCAGAACUGGCGAUGAGGGAUGCACCUAACGUCGAGUUAAGGCGCCUAACUGCGCGCUCAUCAGACACUAUAAAGGGUGUUGGUCCAUAUAGACAGCAGGACGGUGGCCAUGGAAGUCGGAACCCGCUAAGGAGUGUGUAACAACUCACCUGCCGAAUGGACUAGCCCCGAAAAUUGAUGGCGCUUAAGCGCGCGGCCGAUACUCGACCAUCGUCGCGAGAGUGAGGCGACGAUGAGUAGGAGGGCGUGGGCGUCGUUGCGAAGCCUCUGGCGUGAGCCUGGGUUGAACGGCGUCUAGUGCAGAUCUUGGUGGUAGUAGCAAUUAUUCAAAUGAGAACUUUGAAGGCCGAAGUGGAGAAGGUUUCCGUGAGAACAGCAAUUGGUCACGGGUGACUCGAUCCUAAGACAUGGGAUAAGUCCUUGUUAAGUGCGCGCUUGCGCGUAGUCGAAAGGGAAUGAGGUUAAUAUUCCUCAAGCUGGAUGUGGGUGUUGGAUGGCAACAUAAGUGAGUCUGGAAACGCCGGCGCGGGCCUCUGGAAGAGUUAUCUUUUCUUUUUAACAGGUCAGCGGCCCUGAAAUGGGAUUAUCCCGAGCUAGGGCGGCAAACCUGGAAGAGCUCCUCGCUUUCCGAGGAGUCAGGUGCGCCCGCGACGGUCCUGAAAAUCCAGAUGAGCAG
This 1759-nucleotide ribosomal RNA is filed under the name Pelagostrombidium fallax. RNAcentral describes it as "partial large subunit ribosomal RNA". It matches the Rfam family "Eukaryotic large subunit ribosomal RNA", at positions 70 to 1824 of the family's 3401-position model. Lineage: Eukaryota; Ciliophora; Spirotrichea; Strombidiidae. The record is from RNAcentral.